CGGAGUUUGUUUUCGGUAUUUUUCCUAUCUCCUUGGCGCUGCAGCACAUGCAGAUGUCGCUGUUGUUCUUUAUAAAGCUCUAAUGAUAUGCAAAAGCAUAACUACUCGGUUUGGAUGCAAAGCAUCAAUGAAAUAUUAUGGAUGUCUUUAAGAAGGGGAGAGAAAAUCCUGACUGAAGGAAUGUCCACAUAAAUUAUUUUUAUUUAAAUCAAUUCAAAGGAUGGGGUGAGAGCAAGUCAGAAGGAGUCACAUGGAAAACAUGCAUAAUAUUAAUAUGCAUAAAGAGUUCGAACCGUGGAGAAGAAGCUCCUCACUACAGCUCAUGGGACAAACUGGUUCAUUAGGAGAUAGCUCAGAGCGACUACAGCAUUUUGCUAUUUCAAUUUUUUCCUUAUUUUAAAUGAAGAGUAAGACAGAUGUGUUUUCUUUGCAUGGCAGAAUCGAGAUGGAUCCAAUCUGUGAAAUUUGCUACCCAAAUAGUAUUUUAAUGGAAACCGGAAUUAAAUAAGGGCAUGAAUAUGGAAGGGAGGGGAGAAGAGAGAAUAUACGAAGAGGAGUAUAUUCAGAGCCACAGCAUAAUAUUUCGUAGUACAGGAGGUUUUCAGAAACCAUCUUUGCUUCUUCAUUGGUCUCAGAUGGGGCUCCCAUUACAGGGAGCUAUCAGGGUUUGCCAAGAUGAGCACCGAGACAGGCCCUUCUAGGUCUGAGGCUGAGGAAAGCAGCGGCAACUUGGUGCCUGCCCCCCGCAGCUGUCUACAGCUCAGAAGCCAAAAGCACAGCUACUCCUAAUUUGGGGAUGCAGUAGAGUGCCUCCUGGUCCAGCCAAAGGUCCCUUCUUUGAUCAAAAUCCUUCAGUGGCCUCCUGUCUCAUUUGAAGUCAAAGCCAAAGUACUUACCUUGACUUACUGGGCCCUACUUGAUAUGACCACACCUCCACCUGCACUCCUCUGACCUCAUUUCCUACUAGUCUUCAUCUUCUUCACUCUACUCCAGCUUCCAGUGGUCUCUUCAUUGUUCCUGGAACGUGUCAGAAUGCUAUCUUCCAAAAGCACUUAUAAGAAGAGAAAAUGUUUGUGUUAGAGACAUCCUUUCAACUCCUCUCUACUUUGGAAUGAGGUCCAUCCACGUCUCUACAAAUGACCCAACUUCAUUCCUUUUUAUGGACUUGAAUAAAAAACACCUGCGCUUCCAAGCAGCUUGAAUUUCCUUAACAGCAAUGUGAGAGAUAAUGUGAGAUACUUUUCAAAUUCCCCUUGGAUGAAGGAUUUGUUGCCCAGCUGCUGAGAGAGUGGUCAACCAUCAUCUGACAGGCCCUUCUACGAUGGCCUCGACUGCAGAAACCCACAUUCUCUAAGGUUGAGUCUCUUCUCAGGGCAGCCUGCAUCCAACAACAGAUCAAAAUGGGAAUAUAAAGGCUUGACCCUCUUGCCCCAACUCCAGAUAACUCUACAAAGCUAGUCAAGGCCCAGAGUUCUUCAUGGGGUCAGUCCAGGAUGGCAUUUGGCCUUCCGGCAGCUUGACUUUUCCUGCUACCCAGUCCUGCUCUCUUCCCCUGCCUUCACAAAUGUUGACCCCAAGGGCACUCCUUAAUAAACACCCUGCAAGCUAAACUCCCUUUCAGAGUCUACAUCCUGGGGAGCCAGCCAGGGACAGUUAGUACCAUUAGUGAUUCAAGAAAGCAAGCAUUCAGAUGGAGUUUGGAACUGAAACACUCACCUCCUGGCUGACAGAAAAGUGGCAUAAGGGAACUUUCUGAGGUGAUGUA
This is a long non-coding RNA of Globicephala melas (long-finned pilot whale), 1765 nucleotides long. RefSeq lists it as uncharacterized. The record is from RefSeq and is a predicted model, not a curated record. Lineage: Eukaryota; Metazoa; Chordata; Mammalia; Artiodactyla; Delphinidae.